UGCAGAAAAUGACAGUUAUAUUCCUAUGCUGUUCACUACAGCUUUGUCUGGCUUUAAUUUUUGGAGUCAAGGGGCAAAAAGCGAUACCUAUGGAUUUUGCGUUAAGAGGAGGUUCAUAAAUUAUGGAUGAAGUGGGACAGUUAUUGGUAUUUAAAGACAUCAUUCUUCUGGAUGAAUAUUAAUAGGGGUAAAAACCUGAAGGAAUUCCGAAUAAAAACUUUCUGAAAUAGAGCAACUGAACAAAGAUUGCAUGAUUCAAUAAAUAAUACCAUUGAUACUGAAAUGAUGGAUUAUUUAAAUACGCACAUUGAUGCUCUAGAUUUUGCCUGCUCUAUAUAUAGAGGAGCGAUUCCUCACAGCGCAGUUUUUGAACUAAGUCAGUCCACCGAGUUCGUUUUCAAGGUGGUGGUUCCUAUAAUGAGCAGCUUGAAUGAAACCUUUGCAUCGUUAACUCAUGCCACUGUAACCUUUGUGUCUGAGGUGGAUUGAUGUAGUAGGUUGAGGUUGCCCUGGGCUGACCAACAAGCAACCAAAACCAGGCAAGCGUGGAUUGUUGGCAACCCAGUUGCUAGAGCUGUCUUCUCUGGUAGAAAAGGAAUAGCAUAAUGAAAAUGGUGCCAAUGAAAUAAAUAUGCAAACUGCUAAGCAAGAGUAGACUGACAGGGACGGUGGAAGGCAAGUGGAAAUGUAAAAGGAACAUACAAGAUGACAGUCAAAGUCAAGAGAAGAAACUAAAUAUAGACAUAACUUAUGGACUCGAGCUGAGAUGUCCUUACCAUUGGAGAAGCAAUUAACAAAAUCCCUGACUGGAGUAUAUGCAACAUCUGUUAUGGAAGCAUAAAAGGUUAACCUAAAUCCCAACAUGCAGAGAUGUCAUACUAGAACAAAUCAGCAUGUGGAAUUACCUGGAGGCGCCACAAGGUUAAGGUGGAGCAUAUGUAUGGUAAAAAGGUUGUUUAUAACUAGCAGAAUGAAUUUUUCAGGAUGAGAAGGUCAGACAUGCAGAAAUGAAGACUGUCUGUGAUGAGCAGAGAUUGUUUUAGGCUCCAGAUUUCAUCUGGUAAACCCCAAGCUGGAAAAUUUUUUUUUGUACGUCCAAGCUGAAAACAUUUAAAGAAAGGAUUGCACAGAUGCCACAAACUGUCCUUUCUGGAUGGGCUUACACUUACCAGUCAGCUGUAUUGUAUACUAUGUUUUCAUCCGAGUAUAUUUUGUACUAGGUUCAGCAGAUUGGUCAAAUUUGAUUCUCAAGAAGGCUAUUACCAGACAGUGUGAGCUGGUUUUAACCUUUACAUAUCGGAGUCCUUCAGCUUGCUUCAAAUCCAAUGCAUGUUGGUACAAGAGCA
Falco peregrinus (peregrine falcon) is the source of this 1346-nucleotide long non-coding RNA. RefSeq lists it as uncharacterized. The transcript has 3 exons. The record is from RefSeq and is a predicted model, not a curated record. NCBI's taxonomy places the organism in Eukaryota, Metazoa, Chordata, Aves, Falconiformes, Falconidae.